GAUGAACGCUGGCGGCGUGCCUAAUACAUGCCAGUCGAGCGAACAGAUGAGGAGCUUGCUCCUCUGACGUUAGCGGCGGACGGGUGAGUAACACGUGGAUAACCUACCUAUAAGACUGGGAUAACUUCGGGAAACCGGAGCUAAUACCGGAUAAUAUAUUGAACCGCAUGGUUCAAUAGUGAAAGACGGUUUUGCUGUCACUUAUAGAUGGAUCCGCGCCGCAUUAGCUAGUUGGUAAGGUAACGGCCUACCAAGGCAACGAUGCGUAGCCGACCUGAGAGGGUGAUCGGCCACACUGGAACUGAGACACGGUCCAGACUCCUACGGGAGGCAGCAGUAGGGAAUCUUCCGCAAUGGGCGAAAGCCUGACGGAGCAACGCCGCGUGAGUGAUGAAGGUCUUCGGAUCGUAAAACUCUGUUAUUAGGGAAGAACAAAUGUGUAAGUAACUAUGCACGUCUUGACGGUACCUAAUCAGAAAGCCACGGCUAACUACGUG
This 497-nucleotide ribosomal RNA is filed under the name uncultured bacterium. Its description in RNAcentral is "partial 16S ribosomal RNA". It matches the Rfam family "Bacterial small subunit ribosomal RNA", at positions 28 to 507 of the family's 1533-position model. The record is from RNAcentral.